This 934-nucleotide ribosomal RNA is filed under the name uncultured eukaryote. RNAcentral's name for it is "bacterial SSU rRNA". It matches the Rfam family "Eukaryotic small subunit ribosomal RNA", at positions 42 to 1048 of the family's 1831-position model. The record is from RNAcentral.
GAUUUAGCCAUGCAUGUCUAAGUAUCGUGAUUAUAGUGCAAAACUGCGAAUGGCUCAUUAUAACAGUUGUAAUUUGAUUGAUUUGACUUUUAAAUGGAUAUCCCUGGUACAUCCAGGGCUAAUACAUGCCUGAACGGAUUUUAUCCGUGCUUUGAGAACUAUACAAACACGAGUUUGUGAAUGUGUCUCACCAAGUAAAUCAUUUUGAUAAAUCAAAGAAGCUUCUGACCCAUCAGCUUUGAUGGUAGUGUAUUGGACUACCAUGGCUUCUACGGGUGACGAGGAAUUAGGGUUCGAUUUCGGAGAGGGAGCUUGAGAAAUGGCUACCACAUCUAAGGGAGGCAGCAGGCGCGCAAAUUACCCAAUCCUGACCAAGGGAGGUAGAGACGAGCAGUAGCAAUGAGAAGCCUUUGGUUUCUCAAUUGGAAUGGGUGUGUGUUAAAUCUUCACACGAGUAACCAUUGGAGGGAAAGUCUGGUGCCAGCAGCCGCGGUAAUUCCAGCUCCAAUAGCGUAUUUUAAAGUUGUUGCGGUUAAAACGUUCGUAGUCGUAUUUCUGCUUCGGGUGUUUCCUUUCCAAAGGGGACAUUCGAGCAUUAGUGUGGGCGGUUUUCGUCACUUAACUGUGCCGAUGCAUAAACCCGCACUGAUUAUUUUGAGGAAAUUAGAGUGUUUAAAACAAGCAUGGUAUGAAUAUAAUAGCAUGGGACAAUGUGAAACGGGGACGAGAUUAGCGUGGCUUUUGGCUCGGCCCAAUUUUCAAAAGGAGCAUUUGGGGGUAUUCGUAUUGAGCUGCUAGAGGUGAAAUUCUUGGAUUUUUUUAAGACGAACAAAUGCGAAAGCAUUUACCAAGGAUGUUUUCAUUGAUCAGAACGAUAGUUAGGGGAUCGAGACGAUUAGAUACCGUCCUAGUCUACAGUAAACUAUGCGACUAG